This 472-nucleotide ribosomal RNA is filed under the name Allas aff. diplophysa. RNAcentral's name for it is "eukaryotic LSU rRNA". The stretch from base 394 to 472 matches the Rfam family "Eukaryotic large subunit ribosomal RNA", at positions 1 to 79 of the family's 3401-position model. Lineage: Eukaryota; Cercozoa; Imbricatea; Thaumatomonadida. The record is from RNAcentral.
GCAGAAUUCAGUGAAUCAUCAAAUCUUUGAACGCAAAUUGCACUCUCGGGAUAUACCCGGGAGUACGCUUCUUUCAGUAUCGGUUCUAUCUAAACUCGCCUGCGUUUUGAUCUCCGGUCAAAACAAAGUGGCGGAAAUUGAGUGUCACACUUUUUUCUCGAAGGGUGUGUCUCUUGAAGGAUAGAAACGGUAGCUUUUCCGUUUUCUCCUUGAGAAAACUCGUUGGCUCUUCCCUUUUCCGAGGGCUGAAGCAAACUGAGUGACGUGGUUAAGUUCGCCUCGUGCGACACCCGCCAUCGUCAACCAUCUCAGUGCGCUCUCAGUUGGGGUCAAUCGAGAAUGGAAAGCAUCAAUUGCCGUUCUUUGGAUUAAACUCCAAAUUACAACAAAAUCAGAUCUGAAAUGAAGUGAGAGGACCCGCUGAACUUAAGCAUAUCAUUAAGCGGAGGAAAAGAAAAUAACAAUGAUUCCC